This 379-nucleotide unclassified non-coding RNA is filed under the name uncultured fungus. RNAcentral's name for it is "partial contains 5.8S ribosomal RNA and internal transcribed spacer 2". The stretch from base 1 to 133 matches the Rfam family "5.8S ribosomal RNA", at positions 22 to 154 of the family's 154-position model. The record is from RNAcentral. Lineage: Eukaryota; Fungi.
UGGCUCUCGCAUCGAUGAAGAACGCGGCGAAAUGCGAUAAGUAAUGUGAAUUGCAGAUUUCAGUGAAUCAUCGAAUCUUUGAACGCACCUUGCGCUCCUUGGUCCUCUGAGGAGCAUGCCUGUUUGAGUGUCCAGAAUAUCAUCAAUCCUCUCAAUCUUGCGGUUAAGAGGCAUUGGAAUUGGAGGUCUGCUGCUGGGGUUCAUGAUCCUGGUGGCUACUCCCAAAAUCAUUAGCUUGUCACUUGCUUUGGCUUGCCAGCGGCUUGAUAAUUGUCAUUGUCUAUGCCAGGUUGCAGCUGAGCGCGAUAGCUUCUAAUUGUCCGGGUUUCUGGACAAUACUUUAAGAUCGGACCUCAAAUCAGGUAGGACUACCCGCUGA